GUCAGAUGACAAAACAAGGCCCCUAACUAUUUUACUAUUCACUUUUGGUCGAACUGAACACAAAGCCACCAGUUAAGAGGAUGGGUUCAUCAAAGACAUCAGAGGGAGGCACUUUCCAUUCAGAGGAUUUUAAGGGCCGAUCCUCAUUCACUUAAUGUUUUGUUAAUUCAAAAAUGAAAAUCAGUGAGCUGCAUCAGGACCCUUCUGCACAUCCUCCCAGAUCCAGGGGAGCUCCUGGCAAUAGACUGAGGGCCUGCCCCAACAGUGGCAUCAUAAAAUUAUUGGACAUCAGCCUGCUCUGCGAAGUUGUACUGAAGUUUCCAGAGGUUGAAGUUUACAGACUGGUGUACACUAAAUGCAUUUCAGAUGAGGUUCUUGAAACCCCAACAGGUAAAAUAGCUUUCUCAGGGUGGCAGAGAGUACCAAGGACCACCAAGGGUCUUUCUCUGUCACCCAGGCUGGAGUUCAGUGGCACCAUCGGAGCUCACUGCAGCCUCAACCUACCAGGCUCAAGCAAUCCUCCUGCCUCAGCCUCCUGAAUAGCUGGGACUACAGGUAAACGCCACCACACCUGGCUCAUUUUUUAUUUUGUGUAGAGACAGGGUCUUACUAUGUUACUAGGCUGGUCUCAAACUCCUAAGCUCAAGCGAUCCGCCUGCCUUGGCCUCCCAAAGUGCUGG
Molecule: long non-coding RNA, 680 nt
Filed under: Homo sapiens (human)
Lineage: Eukaryota; Metazoa; Chordata; Mammalia; Primates; Hominidae
Description: HSALNT0394298
Source: RNAcentral